ACACUCCUGCGGGAGGCAGCAGUGGGGAAUUUUGGACAAUGGGCGAAAGCCUGAUCCAGCAAUGCCGCGUGAGUGAAGAAGGCCUUCGGGUUGUAAAGCUCUUUUGUCAGGGAAGAAACGGUGAGAGCUAAUAUCUUUUGCUAAUGACGGUACCUGAAGAAUAAGCACCGGCUAACUACGUGCCAGCAGCCGCGGUAAUACGUAGGGUGCAAGCGUUAAUCGGAAUUACUGGGCGUAAAGCGUGCGCAGGCGGUUUUGUAAGUCUGAUGUGAAAUCCCCGGGCUCAACCUGGGAAUUGCAUUGGAGACUGCAAGGCUAGAAUCUGGCAGAGGGGGGUAGAAUUCCACGUGUAGCAGUGAAAUGCGUAGAUAUGUGGAGGAACACCGAUGGCGAAGGCAGCCCCCUGGGUCAAGAUUGACGCUCAUGCACGAAAGCGUGGGGAGCAAACAGGAUUAGAAACCCCAGUAGUCCCAUUAU
RNAcentral lists this ribosomal RNA (477 nucleotides) under uncultured organism. Its description in RNAcentral is "partial 16S ribosomal RNA". It matches the Rfam family "Bacterial small subunit ribosomal RNA", at positions 333 to 805 of the family's 1533-position model. The record is from RNAcentral.